RNAcentral lists this ribosomal RNA (2492 nucleotides) under Candidatus Micrarchaeum acidiphilum ARMAN-2. RNAcentral's name for it is "bacterial SSU rRNA". The stretch from base 1006 to 2491 matches the Rfam family "Archaeal small subunit ribosomal RNA". The record is from RNAcentral. Lineage: Archaea; Nanobdellati; Microcaldota; Candidatus Micrarchaeia; Candidatus Micrarchaeales; Candidatus Micrarchaeaceae.
UCUUGGCAUUAUAUUUGCCGUGAAGGACCCUGUCUAUUUCAUAAAGCAGGCGGAUCAUUGCGCGAUAGGCAUUUACGCCCAGGUCCGGAGUGCUGGCGUGCACCUGCUUUCCAACCGCGGUAAUCCGCAGCCAUAGCACGCCCUUCUCUGCAAUUUCUAUUGACAUUCCAUCAGAGGUGCCGAAAUCCGGCACGAGUAUAAGGUCGUCUUUGCCGAAUAUGUUCUCCUUCAGCAGCCGCUUUAUGCCGUAUUCACUGCCUACUUCCUCGUCGGCGGCAAGGCACACGCCGAAGUUGUAUCUUGGCUGAGCCUUCGCGUCUAUGAGAGCCUUGAGUGCGUAUAUGCUUCCGAUGGCAGACUGGCCGUCGUCGGUUGUGCCCCUGCCGUAUAUUUUGCCGUCCUUCUCUACGGGAUCAAACGGAUCGUGGUCCCACAGCGCCAGAUCCCCUGGCGCAACGGUAUCUAUGUGCGAUAUUACCCAGAGCGUACUUUUUGCACCGCCGUAUGUCGCUAUGAGGUUAGACCUCUUCGCCUUGGAGUCGUCAACAUAAUCGUAUCGCCUGACUUUUAUCCCGAAUCCGGAUAUGAGGCUUUCGAGCAUGUCGGCCCUUGCGGAUUCGCCUUUGCCUCCGCUGAGCGGAGAUAUUGCUGGUAUUUUUACCAUGUCCUUGAGGGAAUCUACCAUCUUCCGCUCGCUGGCCGCCACGGCCUCGACAGCUACGGCUUUUGCGUUGUCCAAUCAAUCACUUAGCCCAAGGGGCACUAUAAGGAUAUAGCGAUACAAAUAAAUACUUUUUUGUUAGUAAAGAUAUUACUCGUCUAAUGCUGGCGGCAUUUAUUGCUGUUGCAUUGCCGUCGCGUGAUUAUUGCCUUACAUUUCAUGCUUUGUUAAAUUGUUAGUUUUAUUGAUGUGUUAUGAAAAUUCCUGCUUGGAAUUGGAUGCAGUCUUGAGGAGUGCAAAAUGGUACCUACAAUUGCAAUUUAAGUACACAGGCCAGAACAUCGAUUCCAGUCGAUGCUGCUGGAGGGCACUGCUAUCAGAUUUCGACAGCCAUGCAAGUCGGCUCAACGGCUUCGUUGGGCGGCGUACGGCUCAGUAACACGUAGUUAACCUAACGUAAAGAGGCGAAUAACCUCGGGAAACUGAGGCUAAUGCACCAUAGGCUAGAACACCUGGAAGGAGUACUAGUCGAAAGGGGCGCAAAUCGCAGCGUUUCCGCUUUACGAUGGGACUGCGGCGGAUCAGGCAGAUGGCGGGGUAACGGCCCACCAUACCGAUAACCCGUAGGGGAUGUGGGAGCAUAGGCCCCGAGAAGGGCACUGAGACAAUGGCCCUAGCGCUACGGCGUGCAGCAGGCGCGCAAACUCCACAAUGCGCGUAAGCGUGAUGGGGGGAAUCUGAGUGGUUCACUUAGUGAACCUUUUGCCAAGUACAGCAAGCUUGGAGAAUAAGUGCUGGGCAAGACCGGUGGCAGCCGCCACGGUAAUACCGGCAGCACAAGUGGUGUCCACGAUUAUUGGGCUUAAAGCGCUCGUAGCCGGCCGAUGUCGUCUCGCGUGAAAUAUUGGCGCUCAACGUCAAUGCGGGCGUGAGAUACCCAUCGGCUAGGGAGCGGGUGAGGUCAGGAGUACUUAUGGGGGAGGGGCUAAAUCCUGUAAUCCCAUAAGGACUAACAGUGGCGAAGGCGCCUGACUAGAACGCAUCCGACGGUGAGGAGCGAAGGCUAGGAGAACGAAUCGGAUCAGAUACCCGAGUAGCCCUAGCAGUAAAUUAUGCAGACUCUGGUGUUGCAAGCAUCACGAAUGCUUGCAGUACCGUAGCACAAGUGUUAAGUCUGCCGCCUGGGGAGUACGGCCGCAAGGUUGAAACUUAAAGCAAUUGGCGGGGGAGCACACAAGGGGUGGAUGCUGCGGUUUAAUUGAAUCCAACGUCGGAAAUCUUACCAGAAGCGACGGCAGGGUGAAGGUCAGACUGAAGAUCUUACUUGACAAGCCGAGAGGUAGUGCAUGGCGACCGUCAGCUCGUGGUGUGAACUGUCCGGUUAAGUCCGGUAAAACGAGCGAGACCUUUGUCAACAGUUGCCACUGGCUUAGAGAUAAGCCAAGCACUCUGUUGGGACCGCCUCUGUUUAAAGAGGAGGAAGGAAAAGGCGACGAUACGUCAGUAUGCUCUGAAUCUUCUGGGCAACACGCGGCAUACAAAGAGUGGUACAAUGGGAUGCAAUGCCGAAAGGCAAAGCUAACCCCCUAAAACCACCCUAAGUUCGGAUUGAGGGCUGAAACUCGCCCUCAUGAAGCUGGAAUCCCUAGUAAUCGCUUGUCACUAUCGAGCGGUGAAUACGUCCCUGCUCCUUGCACACACCGCCUACCAAGUCACCCAAGUGGGGUCCUAGUGAGGCAACGCCUCUGGCGUUUUCGAAUUAGGGUUCCGCGAGGAGGGCUAAGGUAUAACAAGGUAUCCGUAGGGGAACCUGCGGAUAGAUCACCUCAAA